Molecule: long non-coding RNA, 4991 nt
Filed under: Homo sapiens (human)
Lineage: Eukaryota; Metazoa; Chordata; Mammalia; Primates; Hominidae
Description: HSALNT0137566
Source: RNAcentral
GCGCCUGCCUUGCCCGGUCCGCCCUGUCUUCCAGCAGGGCGGGGCCCGGCUCCGGUUGUUCCGCCACGUUUGAGCGGGCGAGCCCGGCGGCCGGGAGACGCCAGGGAACGGGGCUGGUGGGGGUACAAAGGCUCGGUUCCGUCGCCUUCAGCCCUGCGGUGGGGGCACGGGGCAAGUGAGGGGACGGCAGAGGCGGCGUUCGGUGUGAGGCUGCGCCCUGGGCUCCUGAAAAUCCAGGGCUGCAGUCAUUUGAAGGCUUGACUGGGGCUGGAGGAUUUUCAUCCAAGAUGGCUCACUCACCCAGCUGUUGGCAGGAGACCUCGGUUCUUUGACUUCUCCGUAAGACUGUGGACUGGGGACUAAAGGCAAUAGCUUGACUUCUGAAAAGGGCUGGACUGAAGGUCAGCCACAUGGGCAGUGUGAAGGAUCCCCAGCAAAACUCUGGACAUCAGUGGCUGGGCAAGCUUCUCUGGUUGGCGGUACUCUGCAUAUUGUCACACAUCAACUCUGGGAGAAGAUCAUACUGUUCAUGUCUCCACAAGGGGAGGACAGCUGGAAACUCAGUGUCUGGACCUCUUUCCUUGGCUGAUUUUAUUGUGUAUCCUUUCAUUACAAUAAGCUGUAGCCCUGAAUAUAACAGCUUUCAGUGGGCUCUGAGAGUCAUUUUAGUGAGUUAUCAAAACUAAGGGCAGUUUGGGAAUCCCCCUUACUCGUACUUGGUAUCAGAAGCAAGGAUGGCAACCUGUGGGGACUGGUCCCCCUAACCUACAUAGUUGGCCUCAACUCCUGCCAACUCUGUCUCUCUCUCAAACUAAACCCUAGAGUACCUUGUAAUUACUUACCCUUCUUUGAAGAAAGUUAUAUGCCUGAUUUCGUCCUUUUCUCAUUUCUCAUUUACACUUCAGCUAAUUGUGAUUAGACUUGUUCUCACUGUUCCACUCUAAAUGCUCUGACAGAGAUCAUGAAUAAUUGCCUGUUUGCAGCUCAGUCAUCUAUUUGGUAAUUAAACACAUUUUUAUUUAGUGUCACCACAAGUCAGGUAUAAUGUUGGGCCAUGAGAGUUCAGUGAUUACCAAAAUAAAAGCAUUCCUUGCCCUCACAGCACUUAUAGUCCAGUAGGGGGUUCAGGCAAGCCCUCAGAAAACAGCAUGCUAAGGUCUAUGUUAUGGGAAAUAGGGGAGCUAUGGCAGACUUCCUUGGGGCUGGGGGGGGUGGGUGGUCCCAGCCCCCUCUCCUUAGCAGUUGACACUAUUUUUUUUUUUUUUUUUUUUAGACGGAGUCUCACUCUGUUGCCAGGCUGGAGUGCAGUGGCACGAUCUCGGCUCACCACAACCUCUGCCACCUGGGUUCAAGCGAUUCUCCUGCCUCAGCCUCCUGAGUAGCUGGGAUUACAGGCAAGUGCCACCACGCCCAGCUAAUUUUUGUAUUUUUAGUAGAGACAGGAAUUCACCAUGUUGGCCAGGAUGGUCUUGAUCUCCUGACUUCGUGAUCCACCUGCCUCGGCCUCCCAAAGUGCUGGGAUUACAGGCAUGAGCCACUACACCCAGCUGAGCAUUUGACAUUAUUAACUAGCGCCUGGUUCUUUCUCCUGGGACUCCUAUUUUUCUGACUAUUUCUUCUCAUUUCCUUUGCUUAUACUUUUCCUUUGUGUACCUCUUAAACCCUGGUGUUUUCUGGCAUCUGAUCUCAGAAUUCUUCUCUCUCAUCUUUCUACACUCUCUCUAGUAGGUCUCCUUCACUUUGACCACUGUAAUUCCCACCCAAACACAAUGACUCUGCAUCUUUAUCGCUCACUUAGGCCACACCCCUGAGCUGUAGACAUGUAUCAUCAGCUCCCUUCUGGAUGUUCUUGCAUGACUCAAAUGGAACUUCACACGUUUCCCCCUCAGAACAGCUCUGCCUUCUGUGUUUCUGACAUUGGUGAAUAAUUAGUGUCGUCAUCUACCUAGGCACAGAUGCCAGAGACCUGGCUGUCGGCCUCCACUUCUCCCUCUCUUUACUGCCUCAUCCAGUCACCAAAGCCUUUGAGCCUACAGUGUUACGGACAUGUGCCAUUUUCUCCAUCCCUGGCAGCUGCGGUGCAGCCAUAUGACACGUAUUUGGCCAAUUGGUUGCUCACUUUGGAUUUUAAAUUUGGUUUCCCUUCUUCUAUCCAUGGCCUUUCAGUUUCGUUUCCAAAGAAUGCUUUUUAAAAAAUAUUAGUCAGGCCAGGCAUAGUGGCUCAUGCCUAUCAUCCCAACACUUGGGGAGGCAGAAGCCAAGGGAUCACUUGAGGCCAGGAAUUUGAGACCAGCGUGGGCAAGAUAGCAAGACCCUAUCUCUACAAAUUAAAAAAAAAAUUAGCCAUGUUUGGUGGUUCACACUUGUAGUUCCAGCUACUUGGAAAGCUGAGGCAGGAGGAUUGCUUAACCAGGAGUAUGAGGCUGCAGUGAGAUUAUACCACUGUGCUCCAGCCUGGGCAGCAGAGUGAGACCUUGUCUCUUAAAAAAAAAAAGUUAGAUCAUGUCACUCCCUGCUCAACAUUGUCUAAUAACUUUCCAUCAUAUUUAGUAUCAAAUUCAAAGUCAUGAUUGGUUGCCCGGAACAAUAAUGUUCUACAUGAUCAACUCGUAGCUCACUCUCCAUGUUCACUUCUGCCAUUUUCCUAUUGCUCAACUGCUCUCUAGCCCCCAUGUUGUGCCUACAGCCUGCCAAGCACACUCUGGACUCAGACAGCUGUUCCUUUUGCCUGACAUGUUCUUCUCACUGAUUUUUUUUUUUUUUUUUUUUUUUUUUUGAGACAGGAUCUCCCUCUGUCACCCAGGCUGGAGUACAGUGGUGCCAUCUCAGCUUACUGCAGCCUCAACCUCCUGGGGUCUAAGUGAUUCUCUCACUUCAGCCUCCUAAAUAGCUGUAACUACAGGCAUGCACUACCCCCAGCCCUGGCUACUUUUUUAAAAUUAUUAGUAGAGACGUAGUCUCCCUGUGUUGCCUGGGCUGGUCUCUAACCCCUGAGCUCAAGUGAUCCUCCCACCUUGGCCUCCCAAAGUGCUGGGAUUACAGGCAUGAGCCACCGCGCCUGGCCCUUCUCACUGCCUCUUACGUGAUUCACUCUCUUACUGCAGGUCUUCACUCAAAUGAGAGAGAGACUUUCUAUGACCAUCCUACUGAGUAAAAUAGCCACCACUCUCCCAAGUCAUUCUCUGAUCCGUACCCUACUUCAUUAUUGUUCAAAGCACUUCCCACGGUCCAAUGUUGUAUUGUUUACUCAUUUGCUUACUGGUCUAUUUUCUACCUCUCUGACUAGAAUGUAAACUCCACAGUGGCCAUGGGACAUGCCAGCAACACCUCCUUGUCAUCUAACGAUCAAAAUCAUGCAAUGCAUUGAUACCCCCUUGCGGGAAAGGUGCAGUGCAACCUCCAAAUGAGAACCAGUGCUAGAAGUGAACUGGACACAUAGGAAAUUGUGGUUAGAGAUGCAGAUGCUCCCUUUUUAAUUAUUAUUAUUAUUUGUAGAGAUGGGGUCCUGCUGUGUUGCCAAGGCUGGUCUCUAACUCCUAGGCUCAAGAGAUCCUCCCGCCUCAGACUCCCAAAGUGUUAGGAUUACAGGCAUGAGCCACCAUACCCGGCCUCAUUUUUAUUGACCUGAUUUCCGUCAUAGCCUGCAAGAUGCUUUGUUUUGAUUGUUUAUUUUCACUUCUGCCUCCUUCGGUAAACCUGUGAGUGUCCUGAGUGGGGGUCAAGAUUUGUUUGAGUGUAUGAUCUAAUCUGAAUACACACGUGUGUGUGCAUGUGUGUAUUUUUCUCCCUGUUGGAUUGCUCAGCCUCCACAGCCUGUUCUUCUCCACUGUGAUACACCAGGUGUCCUUCAGCAGGUGUAGUGAAACAAAGCAGAGGCUUUGACGUCACCCACGCUGGCCCUCGUGUGACUCACGGCCCAGCCCUGAGCCAGAAUCUGCUCCUGUUAUUACGGGUAUGAUUGUCUCCAUUUUACAAAUGAAGAUAUGGAGGCUCAUAUUCUUCAUCUGCAACUCAUUGAUGGAUAACCAGGUCGAGGUGACUGAUAGCCCUGCAGUCCUCUCUUCUCUCUAUGCUGAGGGAGAAUGACCUUUGAUUUGUGGCACUCACAGGGGCUGGCAAGGCCUGCAGUCAUUUGCAGCUGAUUCUGCUGCUUUGUGUCAUGAGACAUUAAGUGACCUGCUUGGAUUCACUGAACUAAUUAGUGGCAUAGCUGGGAUUGGAACUCAAUAUUCCCUUCUCCAAAUGAUGGGGUUCCCUCUGUGCUUGGUGUCUUCUUGACUUCUAAUGUGUCUGAAAUGCAUAAUUGUUAGAACCCUGGGCCCCUGUAACCUUCACCGGUCAACUCUCAUCACCCCAAGCACCCUGAUGGAUUCGCGGAGCACAGAGGACAAUCCCAGCAAACGUGUUUAUCAUCAAUGAGGGCUUUUGUUGCCGUCUCUUGUACCUUGGUGACUUGGGAUAGAGCACACAUAAACCUCCAGGAUUAUUUUUCACCCUUUUAGUUUAAGGACUAGGAUGAAUGAACAACUCUUGGCCUAUUUUGUUAACCUUAACUCACACCUACUUUUUGCCCUGUGACCGAGGCAUGAAAAUACGUGUUUUUUUCCUUUAGGCCUAGAACAAAGCUGCCACCUUCCCCCACAGUGGUGUUUUUUAAAUGCUUGGUUAUGACCAAUUAGAGGAUUGUAAAAUCAGUGUAGUGGGGUGACGAGCAUUAAAAAAUAGAACAGGAUAUAAAAUAAAAAAGUAGUAGUAGAGUACUGUUCUGUGAAAUCUUUUAUCAGUCAUGUGUGCAUAUGAAUGAAUGUGUACAUGUGUAUGUGUAUAUGUGUGCAUGUGCAUGUGAUCACAAUUUAAAAUGUAUUUCUCAUUAUACUUUGGGGUAAAAUAAUAGGUGUUUUCAACUUGCAGGUGAUAAUUAUGAUUUGGCAGAAUGUAUCCGAAUGUCAUACCACUCCAGGUAGAUUAGAGUCUCUGGAGGGAGGGGCUAG